GGUUCCAUAUCUCAGUUGAUUAGUGUGUAGUGCUAAUAUUAUUCAAAUGUUAAGGCCAAGGUCAAGGGUUCGACCCCCUCUGAAAUUA
Molecule: non-coding RNA, 88 nt
Organism: Choiromyces venosus 120613-1
Lineage: Eukaryota; Fungi; Ascomycota; Pezizomycetes; Pezizales; Tuberaceae
Source: the annotation of a GenBank genome assembly